Molecule: ribosomal RNA, 253 nt
Filed under: uncultured bacterium
Lineage: Bacteria
Description: partial 16S ribosomal RNA
Rfam family: Bacterial small subunit ribosomal RNA
Source: RNAcentral
UACGUAGGGGGCAAGCGUUGUCCGGAAUCAUUGGGCGUAAAGCGCGUGUAGGCGGUUCAGUAAGUCUGCUGUGAAAGUCCAGGGCUCAACCCUGGGAUGCCGGUGGAUACUGCUGGGCUAGAGUACGGAAGAGGCGAGUGGAAUUCCCGGUGUAGCGGUGAAAUGCGCAGAUAUCGGGAGGAACACCAAUUGCGAAGGCAGCUCGCUGGGACGGUACUGACGCUGAGACGCGAAAGCGUGGGGAGCAAACAGG